UCCUUGGGGACACAGAUUGUUUCCCUUUUGUCUGUAUCCCCAGGACUUUUAGUAAGCAAGAAGCCAAUGCUAGGGGGUGCACUGGAUAGAAUGCUGAGCCUGGAGUCAGGAAGACUCCUCUUCCUAAGUUCAAAUCUGACCUCAGACACUUACUAGCUCUGUGAUCCUGGGCAAGCCAUUUAAUCCUGUUGGCCUCAGUUUCUUCAUGCACGAAAUGAGCCUGAGAAAGAAAUGGGAAACCAUUCUAGUAUCUUUGCUAAGAAAACCCCAAAUGAGGGUGGCAAAGUCAGACUCAACUGAGAACAACUGAAUGACAAACUUUUGUUUAAAGAUUGAAUCUACUUACUAUUAUUGCCUCCCUCUUAUUUCCUCACUGAGUAAAAUGGAUUUCUGCUGUGUAUUUUUCCUUUUUUUGACUUGAUGAAUCCAGAUAAGAUUCAAAUGAGGCAACUUUUGAAUACCUGUUUAACCUGGGAACUCUACCUUGGAAAGCAGUUAGUCCAGACAUGUGAUUUGCAUCAUUAUGGGACACUUUGGGUGUAUAGUCUUCCUGUGAUUAUAUAAUUGGAGUAGGAUGGAUGGAAAGAGUCAUUGAAGUUGUGGCAAGAAAGAAGUCAGGAUGCCUGGUGCUAGCCCCGAAUAUAGUGGAUGGCCUUGAAGACUUUGAUAUCUAACCAAGAUCUAAGAGCCCCAAAGCACCUGCCAUUGGAACCUGCCAUUGUGUCUUCCCAUGUUUAGGGUAGACAUCCCCCUAAUUCACUGAUGCCCACAGGCUUGAGACCUAUAUCCUCAACCUGGUUUGGCCUCUUUGCAGAGACAGUUUGAGGGUAACCAAUACAGAUAGUAGGAGCAUGAACUAUGAAUUUCCUCUGUGUCUUCUGAUCCCAAAUCCAGUCCUCUUUCUCCUUCGUUAGUAUUGUACCUCUUCUAACUCAUCCCCAAUAUCUAACCCUUUGGCAAGUCUUAUCAAUUUCUACUUUUUUAUUGUCUCCUUUUUAUUCAGAAAGCCGCCAUCCUAGUUUGGGUUCUUACCACUUCUCUCCUGACUUAAAACUAUUGUUGAGCCUUCUAAUUUGCCUCUCAACAACAUUUCAUCUCUCUCUUUUCCAUUCUACCCCCCCCCCACACACACACAC
This 1136-nucleotide long non-coding RNA is filed under the name Monodelphis domestica (gray short-tailed opossum). RNAcentral describes it as "lncRNA (ENSMODG00000044432.1)". Lineage: Eukaryota; Metazoa; Chordata; Mammalia; Didelphimorphia; Didelphidae. The record is from RNAcentral.